AGCAAUUCUGCUGCAGCCAAGACUGUUAAUAAUUGGUGUGGUUUCACAUCCAUGUUACCACUGUUAGUUGCAUCCCUUGCUGAUUCUUGUUGGGACAAGUAUCCCACCAUCUUAGCCUCUUCUUUCAUCUAUGUUGUGGGGCUUGUGGCAUUGACGUCAACAGAAUUGACUUGGUCAUGGUAUCCCUCCAACAACCUAAGCUUUUCAUUCCUGUUUUGUUCGCUCUGUUUGGUCUCACUAGGCCAAGGUGGAUAUAACCCAUCUUUGCAAGCUUUUGGAGCCGAUCAACUUGAAAGUGAUGAUGAACUUCCAUGCUCAAAAGAUGACCAGAAAUCUAAUAAAAAGAGUUUGUUCUUUAAAUGGUGGUAUUUUGGUGUUUGUGGUGGCAGCCUCUUAGGUGUCACAGUCAUGUCCUAUAUUCAAGACACAUUUGGCUGGGUACUGGGAUUUACUAUCCCAACAAUUGCAAUGGUUUCUUCAAUUGGAUUAUUCUGGUGUGGAAGCAGAAUGUAUGUGUACAAACAGAAUGAUAAUAGUACAGAUAAAAAGCCAUUUCGAAACAUAGUUCGAGCGAUUAAAGAAACUGCAUUGAAAUUAGCAAACUGCAGAAUCAAAUUAUCAAGUAGCAAAUCUCAAGUUGUUGAGCUAGAGUAGGUUUUCUUAUUUGUAAUUCAAGUCUGUUUCAUUUCAAGAUGUCAAUGAGUUCUGAUGAUAACAAAAUAUUUUUGAAUUUUUUUUAUAGGCUGCAGGAGAAGCCUCUUUGUCCUGAGAGCUUAGGCAAGGUCAAGGGCUUGAAUGACAACUCUUUUGAAAAUGCAAAAGUUGUAUUAAGGCUUGUGCCUAUUUGGACAAUGCUUCUGAUGUUUGCAGUCAUUUUUCAACAGCCUGCCACAUUCUUCACCAAGCAAGGUGUGACAAUGAAGAGGAAUAUUGGCAGCAAUUUCAAGAUCCCUCCAGCUACACUACAGAGUUCUAUUACAGUAUCUAUAAUCCUUCUGAUGCCACUGUAUGAUACAAUGUUUAUCCCAAUUAUACGGAUCAUAACUCGGGAUGAAAAGGGUAUCAAUGUAAUGCAAAGAAUGGGGAUUGGGAUGGUUCUUUCUAUAAUAGCUAUGAUGAUUGCAGCACUGGUUGAAACAAAAAGGCUUGAGAUGAGCCAAAAAAUGCCACAUUCUGAAACAGUUCCCCUAAGCAUAUUUUGGCUGCUACCUCAGUACAUUCUGCUUGGCAUUUCAGACAUCUUCACUGUUGUUGGGAUGCAAGAGUUUUUCUACAGUGAAGUUCCAGGAAGAAUGAAAACUAUGGGGAUUGCACUGUAUACUAGCGUAUUUGGAGUGGGAAGUUUCUUGGGUGCCCUGUUGAUUUCCCUUGUAGAAAUUUUCAACAAUUCAAGAGGGAGGCAGAGCUGGUUCUCUGACGACAUGAGAGAAGCUCACCUGGACAAGUACUACUGGCUUCUAGCCUUGUUAAGUGCACUAAGCAUGCUGCUUUAUGUCAUUUUGUGCAAAUUUUACAGGAGUGAAUAGGAUUGUGAGAAUUGUCAGUGAGUACUUUGUUUUAAAUUUUCAUAUAGUUUUUGUCUAAAGAAAAAUCUCCUGUAAUCACUUGAA
Molecule: unclassified non-coding RNA, 1610 nt
Filed under: Hevea brasiliensis (rubber tree)
Lineage: Eukaryota; Viridiplantae; Streptophyta; Magnoliopsida; Malpighiales; Euphorbiaceae
Source: RNAcentral